UACGAAGGGGGCUAGCGUUGUUCGGAAUUACUGGGCGUAAAGCGCGUGUAGGCGGCCCUGCAAGUCGGAUGUGAAAUCCCACGGCUCAACCAUGGAAGUGCAUUCGAAACUGCAGAGCUAGAGUCCUGGAGAGGAAGGUGGAAUGCUUGGUGUAGAGGUGAAAUUCGUAGAUAUCAAGCGGAACACCGGUGGCGAAGGCGGCCUUCUGGACAGUGACUGACGCUGAGACGCGAAAGCGUGGGGAGCAAACAGG
Molecule: ribosomal RNA, 253 nt
Filed under: uncultured bacterium
Lineage: Bacteria
Description: partial 16S ribosomal RNA
Rfam family: Bacterial small subunit ribosomal RNA
Source: RNAcentral